UGGAAAGAAAGGACGCAUGGGACCAUUAGAGUCAUGCUCAUAUGAAAACAAGGAGAAAAGAAAAUUUGAUGUUCUCCCUCCAAAUUUCAAACAUUUGAAAGAGUUCCUGCUCCGCCGCGCCGGAGCUCAUCAUCGGCGGCGGCGGAGCUCAAACCAUGAGACUAGGCACACCAAACCCUUCCUCUCAAGCUUACGAACAUGAAGAACAGCCUCACUAAACCUAAUUUCUAAGCAGUCAGACGAAUCGAAGAAGAUGACGCAAGAACCCUAGAAAUGAAAACAAAAAUUAAAUGCUGAAGAAAGUGAAUCAAAGCCUCAAAUUAUAGGGCUUUGAUUCCAUGCGAGCUACUUUACACGGUGGCACCUCACACACAAUAAACUGAAGAGUUUUAGCAACCGAAAAAGCGACAGGUUUUGAUGCAUUGCAGGUUGCAUUGAUUUGGCAAGGCAUUGGCAAUGUGGUGAUGGUUGCAGCAUGUUUUUUCCCUGCAGGGGUAACUGUGUAUGCAAUAAUAUGUUUGGCUUGGCCUUGCUGGAUUGUUAUGAGGUUGUAGGAUUAUGCAUGGUUGAAGUGUUGCAGUUUGGAUUGGCAGGUUUUAUGGUCAUGUGGUGCAUUGCAGGCUAGGUCUGAAUUUGUUAGGUUUUGUCAUGGAAUUGCAGGACUGGUGCAUGGUUUGUUCAUGUGAUACCAUGGCCUGUUGUAGCUUGGAUUGAUGGAGGUUUGGACUGUGCAGGUGUGCAUUAUUGUCUUGAUUAUUUGAUGUGAUGGACUGGUGAAGGAAUGUUGCAGGGUGGUUUUAAAACAUUGUGUUGUAGGUUUUGCCUUGGUAUGGUUGGUAAUGUUGUUGACUGAUGUUGAUGUUCAUGGUAGUUUUUGCAGUAUGGCAUAACAAGGUUGUAUGUGUUUGUUGCAAUAAAAAUGGUUUCUCAUGAAUUGCUUGUAGCUUGCUGCAGGUUGGUGUUUUCAUUUCAGGAUCCUUGUUUUGCAGGUCUGUAGAUGACUUUGCAAGGUUUGUUUGUUGUUGUUGUCUUGAUUUCUAGUUGACUUGAAUGGUAUGCAUGAUGAUUGUCAGUGGGUUAUGUUUAUAAUUCUUAUGGUUGCAGCUGACUUUGCAAGGUUUAUGUUGUGUUUGACAUGGCUGCAGCUGAGUUUUAGUGAGUUCCUCGAGUGCCAAGUAAUGGCCCUGCUGCAUUGUUGUCUUCAAUUUUGUUAUAUGUUAUUGUAGGAUGUUGCUGCAGAAUUAUUCAUGGCUUUGGUUCAGGUUAAUGGUAUGUUAUGGUAAGCCCUUGGUCAUAUGGUUGGUUGCUAGCAUUGUUUGACAUGAUGAACAUGGUUGAAAUCAUGACUUGCAAAUGAAGAAAUUAUGUAAAGAUUACCAAAUUUAAGAACAUGGAAUCAAUGGUGGAUCAUAGAUGAAUUAUGGAAUAAUGGAAGAAUGGAUUAGGGUUUAGGAUGCUCAAAGUUGGUUAGUUGACUUUGGUCAACUGGUUGACCAAAAAUUCAAUAGUUGACCAAAAGUCAACUUAGGUAGAAAAGUCAAUUUUUUUGUGUAAUCUCUUUUGUAUGGACAUUUGUAAUGAAAUAAGCAUUUGGUGAAUGAAAA
Long non-coding RNA from Lathyrus oleraceus (garden pea), 1604 nucleotides. RefSeq lists it as uncharacterized. The record is from RefSeq and is a predicted model, not a curated record. The transcript is spliced from 2 exons. NCBI's taxonomy places the organism in Eukaryota, Viridiplantae, Streptophyta, Magnoliopsida, Fabales, Fabaceae.